GCCCCGGUAGUUCAAUGGAUAGAACUGCGGACUUCUAAGCCGCUAAUGGGGGUUCAAUUCCCUCCCGGGGCA
Molecule: transfer RNA, 72 nt
Filed under: Candidatus Doudnabacteria bacterium RIFCSPHIGHO2_01_FULL_43_23
Lineage: Bacteria; Candidatus Doudnaibacteriota
Description: tRNA-Arg
Rfam family: tRNA
About the family: Transfer RNA (tRNA) molecules are approximately 80 nucleotides in length. Their secondary structure includes four short double-helical elements and three loops (D, anti-codon, and T loops).
Source: RNAcentral